UCCGGAUCCCGUCCCCUCUCCGCGUCCAGACCUCGAUUAAUUUCGUCAUGCGCAUGGUCCUGCCCCGUACGUGCAGGUAAGCGGAAGCAGAUCAGGGACGGCCUGUCCCCGCUCGACGACCACGCAAAAGGGCUCGUCCACUCCGGCCUCGACCAGGAGGAGCUCUUCCGCCCACCAAAUUAAAGGUCACUUUAUCCUUUAUAUGGAGCUCAUGACUACAGCCAUCAAAUGUCUCAGUCUGCUCCUCAAGCGGAACCUUAUGGUGACAAUCUUCCACACAUCGAUCCCUGGGGCCUACCGAAGCUGAGAAGAAAGAGAUGGCGCCACGGUGGCUCUUGGCGACUUCUGGUGACAUUGGCCGGCUUGGAGGCUUGAUGGGAGAGCUGCAGGUCUAGCUGCUCUGUCCCAAGUUUCACCUCGGUGAGCUCGACUCAUAAAGAUCGAUGGGUUUAAGCUGGAUAGACGGUGGUGGUUAUUGUUGCAAGAAAUAGAAAAGAAGACCUUAUCAGUGCACCCCAUGCCCAUGAUUAUUCAUUGCUGCUGCUUCACCACACACCCAAGAGGAGCAGGUUCGGGAGAAAGAAAGGGACCCAAAAUAGAAACAAGAAAGGGAAAAGAGAAGAGAUGGGGAUUCUGCGAAACUUCCUCGAGCUCGCCAUCAAUUCAUGUCUCGUGCUGCCAUGGUAACCUUAUAGUUAGUCCUUUGAUUACAGAUUGGUGGAUGUGUUGGUAGAAUUUACCCGGUUGGUUUAGCUUUACGACAGUAUAUUGUUUACCCGAUUCCGGCGAAUGGUUUGGAAAGGGGAGCAAAAACAGUACAGUUGAACAUGCAGUUUUCUGUAUAGUGAGUUAUCAUCUUUUUUUAUAUUAAAUCAAAUACGUUUUCAACAUAACAAUCGAAGAAGUUGUCUUGUAGGUACCAAAACUUAUAUUGGUUUACAGAUUUAGUUUUCUCUAUUAAUUUGUACUAAAUGACUUAAUAGUUUGCCCAGUGUGGACAUAUUUGCCAUCAAAGCUGAGAUUUGGUGCUUAUGUGUGCUUUUUGAAACAUGUGCUUUUGAAGUUCUAGGCUUCCAGCUGCAACUUUCAGAGUACACCUGGGUAAAUCAUUAACGAUACAUCACUCAUUUUGCAUCAGCUUUCACAAAAAAUAAACUUAUUUGGAUUCUUAGAAACAUGAUACUGUUUUCUGAAGUGUAAGCCACCACCAGGUUUCUUUAUGUCUCGCUUCAGAGUUCGGGCUUGAAGGUUUAGCUAGUGACUGCAAUCUGGUUAUAUACUCUCUUAUGACGAGUUAACGUCAGUUUUGAAGGUCAAACUGUGUUGAUCUGAAGCUUUCUGGAUGUAUACAUAUUAGCUUGAGCACGCUGAUUUUGAGGAGUAGCCUGCUUUUGCUAUGUUUGUAGUCUUCUAGUGAGAAUUGACUUGAGCUUCUCUCGUGUGCUUUUUUGUGUCUAGGAGUGCUAUUCUGUACAUCCAGAAUUGUCAUUGAUAUAUAGUUUCUUUGCAAAUACCUUAUGUGUUGGAUUUCUCUUGAGGAUCUUCUCCUAUGCUUUUUAAAAAAAAAAUUAUUUGUUGUUCAUUCAUCUGGGAGUUAUCUUAGGUAUUGAUGAGGAUGGGUUGGAAUGUGGGAUCAUGGAACAUUAUUUUCCAUUGGUUUUGACUUUUUUCUCAUUGAUGAAAAGGUUUAUUACACAAAUGCAUGGUCUUGUUGCUGUCGUCUUAGAGCUUAUACUCAUGUUCCUGAUUCUUGUAUAUACCCAAUUUGGGUCUUUCACUGUUAAUUAUAUGAUAGUAUUGAUCUGGCAUUUUAGUUGAUAAACAUGUAAUUGCCACCACUUAUGCUUAUUAGGACAGCAGCUAGAUUUAGUGGUUUUGGUUAAAAUAUUUACUUGCUCUGCUUUAGUGGUUAUGGCUAAAUAUUGACUUGCUCUGUUUGAGUGACGAAAAAGUUCGGACAAACUCCGUUUUGUUUUUAUAAUCUGCUUGGUGUUACUUGGGAGGGAAACGGGAAGGAAGCCGUUGAGCACCUUACCAAGGCGAUCCUAGUGAACCUCAACAACCAUGUAUGGUACAAAGAGGUAUGAUAUGAAGGCAAUUUACACAGCGUUUCUUAAUCCCGUUGUACAUAGGGAGCAUCCUCGUGUUGGCUUUGAAUCCACUCCAAAGGCCAAAGCACGUUGAUGUUGGAUGAAUUGACACGUCGUCCUGGUUAUUAGAGGUCCUGGCCGGUUAUGUGGGUAUGAAUACCACUGGUUGGUAUUGUGUGGCCCUUUUUGAUUGAUAACUAUAUAUUUGAUCCUAGCACUCCAUGGUUUAAUUGUUUUCCUUGUCUACUACAUCUAGAGAAGUAUCAUGCCUAGAGGAAGAUGAGUUUUUUUCUCUCCAUUUAGAAAAUGAACCAUUCAUGUUAUUAUUUACAAUUUCGAGUCCAUAGUUCAGAUCGUGGUUUAGGAAGAAAAGGGCACAUGUUUAUCAUCAUCAGUGCACAUUCUUUUACCCUGUUAUACAUUACCAUGUUCCAACUCACUUAAAGUACUUGUAACCACUGCUUCGUAGGUCAGUCACAAUAGCAGCAAUGCUUGCAGAGCUUACUGACUUGAAAAUGUCGCUACUCUUUGUAUGUGGAGCUGUCCCCCGAGGAGCUGGAUGCAGAGUGAAUGAACUUCUCGAUCUCGACAUGUGGAAGAAGGCAGUAGUUGAUAGAGGAUAUGUACAAUGUCACCCAUGAUCCUCGCAGAGGAUCCAUCCAUGGUGGCAUGAUCAGGGAGCUUUUUAUAUCCUUCAAAAGAUCAACUGGCGAAAAUCCUCAGCGCAUAUUGUUCUAUAGAUGGUGUGAGUGAAGCUUUGAAGGCCAGUUCUCUACCGAUGUGCGUAGCAUAUGUGCUAUCCCUUGUGACUUCCUUUUUUUGUAAUUGCUUCACAGACCUGGAGUUGUAAUAGUGUCACAUCUGUCUUUGUUGCUUAUUUACGUUUGGACUUGUGAUCUGAGUUGGAUGAUGUGGGGUUUUGGAUGUCAAUCUGUGCUGUUGUGAUACAUAUGAAAUUUGGACUGUUGAUUAUUUCA
Long non-coding RNA from Lolium perenne, 3067 nucleotides. RefSeq lists it as uncharacterized. NCBI's taxonomy places the organism in Eukaryota, Viridiplantae, Streptophyta, Magnoliopsida, Poales, Poaceae. The record is from RefSeq and is a predicted model, not a curated record.